UUUAAAGAGACACCAGCAUAUCCCUGAGAACCCUGCAAAUUCCCAUGCCUCUCAAACAGCCCAGAGCUGCCCAGCUGGGAGCAGGUGAGCAGCCCCUGCCCUCCAGACUCUUGGCCAAGCUUGUCCUGGUGCAAACCACAACUCUCCCUUCCCUCACUCUGCAGCUCCUGCCUAAUGAAUGGUCAGCCCUGUACCCCAGGUUUGUCCCAGGUGGUCCCCACUCAUGCUGACAAUUCUUUUGUCCCACAGGGAUUGUGGCUGCAAAGCUGCUGAGCACCAGAGCCAGUGGUGACAAGUCGUGGAGGAGACAUUUUUGGUUUUCUACAGACAAAGAAAUCUUCACCUCACCAGUUUUAAGGCAUAAUCAUCUGUUUUAUUGCUUCCAUUUGUGAUUAUUUUUCUACUCUAACAUCUCCUUUUUGCCCAUUUUAGAGGGAUGGGGCAUUUUUCAUUUUACAGUUUACAGCAAUCCACAGUCAGCUUUACAAUUCAGCUGUACACUGGAAAAGUUAAACAUCCACUCUACUUAUCCAAAGACUGAUAUUUAUUUUAUCUAAAGAAUUUAUAUAAUAUCAACAGUCUGCCUUGGUGCAGCCAAAGAGGCUUAAAAAAUUACUAGCAAUCCCUUUUUUCCACAUCAGAGCCCACAUCCUAAACACUGAACAAAUCCCAUCAGUGUUUAGGGCACAUAAUAUCAUUGUUGUCAAAUCAAUGGUGAAUUUACGUGCUGCUAAUCCUUGGCACUUAGUCAAACAAGCUCAGCAAGUUUUAGCAGCACAAUGCAUUUUAUGUUUUCAUCAAUGGAUUUGCAUAGGGAAUGAGGGAUGCUCUUUGCUUCCCAGCCUGCAGCAGCUCCCGGAGAGUGGAGAGAGCAUCUCACACACACCCAGAGAGCAGGAGAACGGGGACAGGAGCAGGUCUGGAAGUUUACAGCUGCUUAGCAGUGAUGCUUCUCCCCAUCUGUAAAUCUCAGCUUUCAGGCAGAUGAGCAAACGAAACUGCAGUCGGCUGCCCAAGGCUUGGUGUUCUUUCUCCACCUAGAGCACAAAAGGAGGAAUGUUCUGCAGCCACACAGGUCUGAGAGGAAAUCUGUGUAUUUCUGUGCUGUGGAGUGAUUAAAACCUCACUGUCAGUGCUGUUCAGCCUUCCUCUGGGUCUGUGCUGCUUUACAGACCUGUCCCAGGGCUCCUAAAAGAGUUGGUGCUUCUAAAGAGCUGCCUGCUCUUCCCAAUCCAGUUAAAAGCACACCACCAUUCUCUGAAGGACAUGAAGAAGUUUGUUGGGUUUUUUUUUUUCUGAAGACAAGAGUUUCAAGAGGCUGCAACUGUGAAUGAGCCAGUCCUUCAGCUGCGCACUGCUGCAGUUGUGACAAUGUAUUUGCAAGCCCUGAUCCAGGGGGAUGGGUUAUCUCAACCUUCAAAGAUCCAAUUUGGUUGAAGAAAUAAAAAAAUCAGUCAACUAAAUACCUGCUGUGAUCAAUAAAACAUCAAAAAAGAUUGUCGUGUAUCUUUAAAAAAAUGAGGACAACCUUCCCAAAAACUGCAUCUGCCUCUCUGGGAUCCCCAGAACCUGAGAAUUC
Molecule: long non-coding RNA, 1579 nt
Organism: Passer domesticus (house sparrow)
Lineage: Eukaryota; Metazoa; Chordata; Aves; Passeriformes; Passeridae
Exons: 3
Source: RefSeq, a predicted model, not a curated record